GAUGAACGCUGGCGGCGUGCCUAAUACAUGCAAGUCGAGCGAACAGACGAGGAGCUUGCUCCUCUGACGUUAGCGGCGGACGGGUGAGUAACACGUGGAUAACCUACCUAUAAGACUGGGAUAACUUCGGGAAACCGGAGCUAAUACCGUAUAACAUGUUGAACCGCAUGGUUCAACAGUGAAAGACGGUCUUGCUGUCACUUAUAGAUGGAUCCGCGCCGCAUUAGCUAGUUGGUAAGGUAACGGCUUACCAAGGCAACGAUGCGUAGCCGACCUGAGAGGGUGAUCGGCCACACUGGAACUGAGACACGGUCCAGACUCCUACGGGAGGCAGCAGUAGGGAAUCUUCCGCAAUGGGCGAAAGCCUGACGGAGCAACGCCGCGUGAGUGAAGAAGGUCUUCGGAUCGUAAAACCCUGUUAUUAGGGAAGAACAAAUGUGUAAGUAACUAUGCACGUCUUGACGGUACCUAAUCAGAAAGCCACGGCUAACUACGUG
This 497-nucleotide ribosomal RNA is filed under the name uncultured bacterium. RNAcentral describes it as "partial 16S ribosomal RNA". It matches the Rfam family "Bacterial small subunit ribosomal RNA", at positions 28 to 507 of the family's 1533-position model. The record is from RNAcentral.